Molecule: ribosomal RNA, 253 nt
Filed under: uncultured bacterium
Lineage: Bacteria
Description: partial 16S ribosomal RNA
Rfam family: Bacterial small subunit ribosomal RNA
Source: RNAcentral
UACGAAGGGUGCAAGCGUUACUCGGAAUUACUGGGCGUAAAGCGUGCGUAGGUGGUUUGUUAAGUCUGUUGUGAAAGCCCCGGGCUCAACCUGGGAAUGGCAAUGGAUACUGGCAAGCUAGAGUGCGGUAGAGGGUGGUGGAAUUUCCUGUGUAGCGGUGAAAUGCGUAGAUAUGCGGAGGAACACCGAUGGCGAAGGCAAUCCCCUGGGCCUGCACUGACGCUCAUGCACGAAAGCGUGGGGAGCAAACAGG